Molecule: ribosomal RNA, 279 nt
Filed under: uncultured bacterium
Lineage: Bacteria
Description: partial 16S ribosomal RNA
Rfam family: Bacterial small subunit ribosomal RNA
Source: RNAcentral
UGCCAGCAGCCGCGGUAAUACGGAGGAUCCAAGCGUUAUCCGGAAUCAUUGGGUUUAAAGGGUCCGUAGGCGGUCUAAUAAGUCAGAGGUGAAAUCCUACCGCUCAACUGUCGCAUUGCCUUUCAUACUGUUAGACUUGAGUUAUGGGGAAGUAGUUAGAAUGUGUAGUGUAGCGGUGAAAUGCAUAGAUAUUACACAGAAUACCGAUUGCGAAGGCAGAUUACUAACAAUAUACUGACGCUGAGGGACGAAAGCAUGGGUAGCGAACAGGAUUCGAUA